GACGAACGCUGGCGGCGUGCUUAACACAUGCAGGUCGAGCGGAAAGGCCACUUCGGUGGUACUCGAGCGGCGAACGGGUGAGUAACACGUGAGUAAUCUGCCCUUCACUCUGGGAUAGCCACCGGAAACGGUGAUUAAUACCGGAUACGACCACUCCACGCAUGUGGUGGUGGUGGAAACUUUUUGGGUGGGGGAUGUGCUCGCGGCCUAUCAGCUUGUUGGUGGGGUAAUGGCCUACCAAGGCUUCGACGGGUAGCCGGCCUGAGAGGGUGACCGGCCACACUGGGACUGAGACACGGACCAGACUCCUACGGGAGGCAGCAGUGGGGAAUAUUGGACAAUGGGCGGAAGCCUGAUCCAGCAACGCCGCGUGAGGGAUGACGGCCUUCGGGUUGUAAACCUCUUUCAGCACCGACGAAGCGCAAGUGACGGUAGGUGCAGAAGAAGGACCGGCCAACUACGUGCCAGCCGCCGCUGUAA
RNAcentral lists this ribosomal RNA (480 nucleotides) under uncultured bacterium. RNAcentral's name for it is "partial 16S ribosomal RNA". It matches the Rfam family "Bacterial small subunit ribosomal RNA", at positions 28 to 523 of the family's 1533-position model. The record is from RNAcentral.